Molecule: non-coding RNA, 164 nt
Organism: Ornithorhynchus anatinus (platypus)
Lineage: Eukaryota; Metazoa; Chordata; Mammalia; Monotremata; Ornithorhynchidae
Source: Rfam
GCGCUUACUUGGCAGGGGAGAUAACAUGAUCACAUAGGGUGUUUUCCCAGAGUGAGGCUCAUCCUUUGCACUCAGGGUGUGCUGACCCCAGAGAAUUCCCCAAAUGCAGGAAACUCGACUACACAAUUUGUGUUAGUGGGGGACUGUGCUUGUAUUCUUCCCUG